Transfer RNA from Bathycoccus prasinos, 83 nucleotides. It matches the Rfam family "tRNA". Rfam says of the family: Transfer RNA (tRNA) molecules are approximately 80 nucleotides in length. Their secondary structure includes four short double-helical elements and three loops (D, anti-codon, and T loops). NCBI's taxonomy places the organism in Eukaryota, Viridiplantae, Chlorophyta, Mamiellophyceae, Mamiellales, Bathycoccaceae. The record is from Rfam.
GGGAAAGUGGCCGAGUGGUUGAAGGCGGCAGACUGUAAAUCUGUUGAAUUAAAUCUACGUAGGUUCAAAUCCUACCUUUCCCA